RNAcentral lists this ribosomal RNA (348 nucleotides) under uncultured bacterium. RNAcentral's name for it is "bacterial SSU rRNA". It matches the Rfam family "Bacterial small subunit ribosomal RNA", at positions 28 to 368 of the family's 1533-position model. The record is from RNAcentral.
GACGAACGCUGGCGGCGCGCUUAACACAUGCAAGUCGAGCGAGAACCAGGGCUUCGGCCCUGGGGAAAGCGGCGAACGGGUGAGUAACACGUGAGUAACCUGUCCUCGGCACCGGGAUAGCCCGGGGAAACCCGGAUUAAUACCGGAUGGCCUUUCGAGUCUUCGGGCUCGUCAGAAAAGGGAGCUUCGGCCUCCGGCCGAGGAGGGACUCGCGGCGGAUUAGCUUGUUGGUGGGGUAACGGCUCACCAAGGCGACGAUCCGUAGCUGGUCUGAGAGGACGAUCAGCCACACUGGGACUGAGACACGGCCCAGACUCCUACGGGAGGCAGCAGGUGGGGAAUCUUGCG